UAGGGAAUCUUCCACAAUGGGCGCAAGCCUGAUGGAGCAACACCGCGUGAGUGAAGAAGGGUUUCGGCUCGUAAAGCUCUGUUGUUAAAGAAGAACAUGCAGGAGAGUAACUGUUCUUGUAUUGACGGUAUCUAACCAGAAAGCCACGGCUAACUACGUGCCAG
Molecule: ribosomal RNA, 164 nt
Filed under: uncultured bacterium
Lineage: Bacteria
Description: partial 16S rRNA
Rfam family: Bacterial small subunit ribosomal RNA
Source: RNAcentral